This 253-nucleotide ribosomal RNA is filed under the name uncultured bacterium. RNAcentral's name for it is "partial 16S ribosomal RNA". It matches the Rfam family "Bacterial small subunit ribosomal RNA", at positions 524 to 776 of the family's 1533-position model. The record is from RNAcentral.
UACGGAGGGGGCUAGCGUUGUUCGGAAUCAUUGGGCGUAAAGGGCGCGUAGGCGGCCGAUCAAGUCGGAUGUGAAAUCCCUCGGCUCAACUGAGGAAUUGCCUUCGAUACUGUUCGGCUUGAGUCCUGGAGAGGGUAGCGGAAUUCCCGGUGUAGCGGUGAAAUGCGUAGAGACCGGGAAGAACACCAGUGGCGAAGGCGGCUACCUGGACAGGUACUGACGCUGAAGCGCGAAAGCUAGGGGAGCAAACAGG